RNAcentral lists this ribosomal RNA (484 nucleotides) under uncultured bacterium. Its description in RNAcentral is "bacterial SSU rRNA". It matches the Rfam family "Bacterial small subunit ribosomal RNA", at positions 30 to 507 of the family's 1533-position model. The record is from RNAcentral.
AUUGAACGCUGGCGGCAGGCCUAACACAUGCAAGUCGAGCGGAUGAAGAGAGCUUGCUCUCUGAUUCAGCGGCGGACGGGUGAGUAAUGCCUAGGAAUCUGCCUGGUAGUGGGGGACAACGUUUCGAAAGGAACGCUAAUACCGCAUACGUCCUACGGGAGAAAGCAGGGGACCUUCGGGCCUUGCGCUAUCAGAUGAGCCUAGGUCGGAUUAGCUAGUUGGUGAGGUAAUGGCUCACCAAGGCGACGAUCCGUAACUGGUCUGAGAGGAUGAUCAGUCACACUGGAACUGAGACACGGUCCAGACUCCUACGGGAGGCAGCAGUGGGGAAUAUUGGACAAUGGGCGAAAGCCUGAUCCAGCCAUGCCGCGUGUGUGAAGAAGGUCUUCGGAUUGUAAAGCACUUUAAGUUGGGAGGAAGGGCAGUAACUUAAUACGUUGCUGUUUUGACGUUACCGACAGAAUAAGCACCGGCUAACUCUGUG